CGCAACCCUUGUCCUUAGUUACCAGCACGUUAUGGUGGGCGACUCUAAGGAGACUGCCGGUGACAACCGGAAGGAAGGUGGGGAGUGACGUCAAGUCAUCAUGGCCCUUACGGCCUGGGCUACACACGUGCUACAAUGGUCGGUACAAAGGGUUGCCAAGCCGCGAGGUGGAGCUAAUCCCAUAAAACCGAUCGUAGUCCGGAUCGCAGUCUGCAACUCGACUGCGUGAAGUCGGAAUCGCUAGUAAUCGUGAAUCAGAAUGUCACGGUGAAUACGUUCCCGGGCCUU
Molecule: ribosomal RNA, 288 nt
Filed under: uncultured Pseudomonas sp.
Lineage: Bacteria; Pseudomonadati; Pseudomonadota; Gammaproteobacteria; Pseudomonadales; Pseudomonadaceae
Description: partial 16S ribosomal RNA
Rfam family: Bacterial small subunit ribosomal RNA
Source: RNAcentral